GCUCGGGUGGUGGAAUUGGUAUACACGUACGCUUGAGGUGCGUAUUCCGAAAGGAUUGCGGGUUCGAGUCCCGCCCCGAGCA
Molecule: transfer RNA, 82 nt
Filed under: Deltaproteobacteria bacterium CG11_big_fil_rev_8_21_14_0_20_47_16
Lineage: Bacteria; Deltaproteobacteria
Description: tRNA-Leu
Rfam family: tRNA
About the family: Transfer RNA (tRNA) molecules are approximately 80 nucleotides in length. Their secondary structure includes four short double-helical elements and three loops (D, anti-codon, and T loops). Further hydrogen bonds mediate the characteristic L-shaped molecular structure. tRNAs have two regions of fundamental functional importance: the anti-codon, which is responsible for specific mRNA codon recognition, and the 3' end, to which the tRNAs corresponding amino acid is attached (by aminoacyl-tRNA synthetases). tRNAs cope with the degeneracy of the genetic code in two manners: having more than one tRNA (with a specific anti-codon) for a particular amino acid; and 'wobble' base-pairing, i.e. permitting non-standard base-pairing at the 3rd anti-codon position.
Source: RNAcentral